CCUACGGGUGGCAGCAGUGAGGAAUAUUGGUCAAUGGGCGAGAGCCUGAACCAGCCAAGUCGCGUGAGGGAAGACGGUCCUAUGGAUUGUAAACCUCUUUUGCCGGGGAGCAAAAAGCGGUACGUGUACCGCAUCGAGAGUACCCGGAGAAAAAGCAUCGGCAAACCCCGUUCCAGCAGCCGCGGUAAUACGGGGGAUGCGAGCGUUAUCCGGAUUUAUUGGGUUUAAAGGGUGCGCGGGCGGCGAGUUAAGUCAGCGGUAAAAUUUCGGGACUCAACCUCGACGAGCCGUUGAAACUGGCUUGCUAGAGUGGGCGAGAGGUAUGCGGAAUGCGUGGUGUAGCGGUGAAAUGCGUAGAGAUCACGCAGAACUCCGAUUGCGAAGGCAGCAUACCGGCGACCAACUGACGCUCAGGCACGAAAGCGUGGGUAUCGAACAGGAUUAGAUACCCGAGUAGUC
Molecule: ribosomal RNA, 459 nt
Filed under: uncultured bacterium
Lineage: Bacteria
Description: partial 16S ribosomal RNA
Rfam family: Bacterial small subunit ribosomal RNA
Source: RNAcentral